Molecule: ribosomal RNA, 503 nt
Filed under: uncultured bacterium
Lineage: Bacteria
Description: bacterial SSU rRNA
Rfam family: Bacterial small subunit ribosomal RNA
Source: RNAcentral
AAUCAACGCUGGCGGCGUGCCUAACACAUGCAAGUCGAGCGGUAACGGGUGUAGCAAUACAUGCUGACGAGCGGCGGACGGGUGAGUAACGCUUGGGAAUCUGCCUAUUAGUGGGGGACAACCCGGGGAAACUCGGGCUAAUACCGCAUACGCUCUACGGAGGAAAGCCGGGGACCGCAAGGCCUGGCGCUAAUAGAUGAGCCCAAGUCGGAUUAGCUAGUUGGUAGGGUAAUGGCCUACCAAGGCGACGAUCCGUAACUGGUCUGAGAGGACGACCAGUCACACCGGAACUGAGACACGGUCCGGACUCCUACGGGAGGCAGCAGUGGGGAAUAUUGGACAAUGGGCGAAAGCCUGAUCCAGCGACGCCGCGUGGGUGAAGAAGGCCUGCGGGUUGUAAAGCCCUUUCAGUGGGGAAGAAAAGCCUCGACCUAACACGUCGGGGUCUUGACGUAACCCAUAGAAGAAGCACCGGCUAACUCCGUGCCAGCCGCCGCCGUAAC